GAUUAACGUUGGCAGUGCGCCUAACACAUGCAAGUCGAGCGAUAUAGCGGCAGACGAGAGAGUAAUAGUAAGGAACUUACCCCCGAGUGAAGGAUAGCCAGCCGAAAGGUUGGGUAAUCCUGCAUAAUAUCGAAAGAUCAAAGCCUUCGGGCGCUUGGGGAGAGGCCUUACUCCUAUCAGCUUGUUGGUGAGGUAAUGGCUCACCAAGGCGAUGACGGGUAGCUGGUCUGAGAGGAUGAUCAGCCUCGAUGGGACUGAGACACGGCCCAUACUCCUACGGGAGGCAGCAGUUGGGGAUUUUGCACAAUGGAGGAAACUCUGAUGCAGCGACACUGCGUGAAGGAUGAAGGUUCUAGGAUCGUAAACUUCUUUUAUCAGGGAGUAAUCUUGAAAGUACCUGAUGAAUAAGGACCGGCUAACUACGUG
Molecule: ribosomal RNA, 426 nt
Filed under: uncultured bacterium
Lineage: Bacteria
Description: bacterial SSU rRNA
Rfam family: Bacterial small subunit ribosomal RNA
Source: RNAcentral